AACGAACGCUGGCGGCAGGCUUAACACAUGCAAGUCGAGCGCCCCGCAAGGGGAGCGGCAGACGGGUGAGUAACGCGUGGGAAUCUACCGUGCCCUACGGAAUAGCUCCGGGAAACUAGAAUUAAUACCGUAUACGCCCUACGGGGGAAAGAUUUAUCGGGGUAUGAUGAGCCCGCGUUGGAUUAGCUAGUUGGUGGGGUAAAGGCCUACCAAGGCGACGAUCCAUAGCUGGUCUGAGAGGAUGAUCAGCCACAUUGGGACUGAGACACGGCCCAAACUCCUACGGGAGGCAGCAGUGGGGAAGAUUGGACAAUGGGCGCAAGCCUGAUCAGCCAUGCCGCGUGAGUGAUGAAGGUCUUAGGAUUGUAAAGCUCUUUCACCGGUGAAGAUAAUGACGGUAACCGGAGAAGAAGCCCCGGCUAACUUCGUGCCAGCCGCCGCCGUAA
Molecule: ribosomal RNA, 446 nt
Filed under: uncultured bacterium
Lineage: Bacteria
Description: partial 16S ribosomal RNA
Rfam family: Bacterial small subunit ribosomal RNA
Source: RNAcentral